AAACCAUACAAACUGGGGUGCGGGAACGGAUAGCUUUGGCUGUACACACCUCAUAUGUGUUAGGACAAAGUUGUAUGAAUAUGCCUAUGUAGGUAAGAAACGGCAAUUUUCAGUAAAACGAGGAAACUGGCUUUAUUAAGUCCUUGCAGCCUCAGCCUCUCGGGCGUUCUUCGCAAUAAGUUCCUCAUACUCCUUGACAUUAUUUACACCCAAUGGCAUUCCGUUUGUCUGCAAGCCCUGUUCAUUCAUAUAAACCUCACGGACCUCCAUAGCCUUCUUCCACGACUCGCGAGCCUCCAUACGAUGUUGCCAUGCCUGUACAUUGGGAUACGGGGCCAGAGGGUCUUCUCCUGCAGGGGUUUCGAGUAGCAUGUUGAGGCGGUUAUUCCAAGGCAGGAAAGCCAAGUCAGCAUAGGUGCACUUGUCACCGACAAGCCACUGCUUGCCGUCAAGGGCAGUAUUUAGGACGCCCAGAACGCGGCGAACAUGUUCCUGAUAACGCUCAAUGGCGGAGGGGAUUUUCUCAUGAUGCAGGACGGUGAACCUGCAGGCCGAGAAUGAGAUGCCAUCAGAUGAAUAUUCACGGUAGAACAGGGGAAAGUGUAUGGAAGCAUACCAUCCGGCCUGCCCAUAGUAUGGGCCCUGGCC
RNAcentral lists this small RNA (648 nucleotides) under Histoplasma capsulatum. Its description in RNAcentral is "hypothetical RNA". RNAcentral also lists the same sequence under 1 other name. The record is from RNAcentral. Lineage: Eukaryota; Fungi; Ascomycota; Eurotiomycetes; Onygenales; Ajellomycetaceae.